CAAAGUCAAAAUAUGAUUGGUUAAAUCGUAGUGCAGCGUUAGCCAGUCAAAAAGUCGAUUGGAAAUGUUUUGUUGUUUUUAGAAAAGCUUGUUGAAUUGAGUCAUUCAGUGAAGUUCGUGGUUUUGGAGGAUUCAGUGCAAGGAUCUUGUUUGCACCAUGCUGGACAAGGAAUUGAUUGUGUCAGCACCUGGGAAGGUAAUUCUUCAUGGAGAGCAUGCAGUGGUCCAUGGAAAGUUGGCGCUGGCUGUUGCCUUAAACAGGCGGACUUAUGUCAGAAUGGGUCGUAGUGCAGACAGCAGUGUGUCUCUGAACCUACCUAACAUCAACACAUUCCUCAGCUGGGACUUGUCUUCUCUUAAGUCAUUGAUGCCUGCAUAUGCAAUUGAACUACAGAAAGUAGAUAAACCAGAUCAUGGGCUAGUCCAGCAGCUACGAGAGUUUUUGGGUGUGCCAGAAGGAUCGAUGGAAAACUCCACUUUGGCAACCUUGGCAUUCCUUUACCUCUAUGUCUCCAUCUUUGCUGGAUCAAGGGAUUGGAUAGGUAUUACAGUGACUGUGUGGUCAGAGUUGCCAACAGGGGCUGGUCUUGGAUCAAGUGCAGCCUACGUGGUUUGUUUGUCUGCUGCUCUGUUAUCCGCCCGAGGACUGCUAUCCUCCCCUGUAAAUGGCUGCCACGUUUCCAGAUGGAAUAGAGAGGAGCUUGAGAUAAUUAACAAGUGGGCAUUUCAAGGAGAGAAAAUCAUCCAUGGUAACCCUUCUGGUGUGGACAAUGCUGUGGGUACAUGGGGUGGAGCUUUAAGGUAUCUUUCAGGUGAUAUCACACCAUUAAACAGUGUUCCGAUACUAAGGAUACUGUUGACAAACACACAAGUUCCUAGAAGCACAAAGGUUCUGGUAGCUGGAGUGAAAGACAAAAUUCUCAAGUUUCCAGCUAUAACAAUUCCAGUGCUUGAUUCAAUCAGUGCAAUUUCCCAUGAGUGUGAAAAGAUACUGGGAGAAAUGGCAACAUGCCCAACAGAUAAACACUAUGAUGUUCUGGAGGAACUUUUUGACAUCAACCAGCACCACCUCAAUGUGAUCGGUGUGGGCCAUCCUUCACUUGACAAACUAUGUCAAAUAACGUUGGCUCACGGACUGCACAGCAAGCUUACAGGGGCUGGUGGAGGGGGCUGUGGCAUCACCCUACUGAGACCAGAAUCAAUGAUGACUGUCUUGAUCAGAGCUUCCUGUUUUCUUACUUGAACCUACUUCUGGUCAUCUGCUGAACUACUUGGCUUCACUGUCACUUGGAUUGUAUAAACAAAAGCAGCCAAGCCUGAAAGACUGUCUUUGUGUAAAAUGUGAAUCGGAGACCACCCUUUAAAUGGGCGUACACAACGCACUAAUAAAAUUAGUCGACAGAAUCAUAUUGGAAUGCUCCUGGACCAUGGAGAGAUUCCGCUGCAGCUCUGGAGCUGGUGGAUGAAUUUACAAAUCAGUCAUAUGUGACUCAAGGCCUUUCUGAGCUCCAGACCUCACACAGUAGGUGGGUAGCAGCCAUGGUUUGUUUGUGAGUGACACUUCUCCCCAGGAAGACGGGAGAAGUCCACAUCUUGACCUGUUGUUCAGCUGAUUUCAAAAGAAAAUGUGGACACUAAAUGAACCUCAAAGGUCAUGACUGCGGUGAAGGUUGUAUCGACUCUGGUCCUGAGACCGGACACCUUCCAACAGAUGAAGUGCUCUGCCCUGUCUGUGGUUAACGGCGGCCUCAAUCAAUCAAUUAUUGCACGGCACAGCUAACAUGGCGCCCACUAUCAGCAGCUGCUUUUCUCCAUAAUAGAGAUGAAUCUAAUCUAAAGCAAUAAAUAAACAGCACUCCCCGGUGGAGUACGCCGCGAGGGCUCACAGUUUGAUGAGUGUGUAUUGCAGAGAACAUUUGUUACAAAUAAGCGAAUCGACUGGAAAGGGAAAGAGCUGAUGCCUUUUGUCAGAGGUGACUUAGCAAGACACAAUAAUUGCCUUUGAUCUAAUUUGCAUAGAAUGCAAUGAAUUUGAUCCCAGCAUUCACCACAGACCCCCAAGACACAAGACAGGGGUUGGCACAGGGUGAUAUAUCACAAGGUGUAGCCCUUGCUUCUUAUGUGAAGUCCCUGGAAUUGGCAUUGCACACACUUAAAAGAAGUAGUGCUGUUAUUAAGUCUAGAAAUAUAACAAAAUUGUGAAGAAAUCAUAAUUUCCAAGUUCAACACCCUUAUGUAACCCCAUACUCACUUCCGCUGUAGCACCUAACCAUUUUUUUCCAUUGCUUUCCUCAUUAUUAUGCAUUCCAAGAUAUAGAAUGUGGCCUUCCAUGGCCUCCUCAGCAGAUUUGAGGACCUGGCGUGCACGAGCAUACAGUAACAGGAGGGAUUGCUACCCCAGUCCUUUAUGCGUGCUAGGAAACUACAGAGACAGACAUUGCAUAAGGUGCAUCACAGAGGGAAAAACGCCACUGCACACCUGCCGAGAACCUGCAUACCUAGGAACACACCUUCACACCACUCAGUACUUUUUGGGGUGUUCUUAGGUACUCACACACUUGAAGCAACCCAUGAGACAUGGCACCUCAUAUGCCAUGAGAAGGACAUUGUUUGGCUCCCCAGGAAUCCCUUUAUGCAGAGAAUAGAGAAUGUGUUGUUCCAGAACUGCCAAAUGUACAUUCACAGCCUGUUCAGAGACAAUUCUAUUUUAUAUGGAUUCACCAGUUACUUUAUUGUACAGGAGCACAACACUAGGCAUCUAGCACAUAGGACCCACUACUUGGUGUAAGUCAGGCACUGUAAUAUAAAAUAAUAUAAAUAUAUCAUGAACUUAGCAGGGUUCCAUCUCACUGUUAGAUCAUGAAGUGGUGCACCAAGUCAAAUGGUCCAAUAUGUUUUUAUUUAUGUAUGUAUUAUUUAUGUACAAAUAUACCAAUUUAUCACAAAAACUGAGUGAUUUGGUGGGAAGUGGGUCAAGGUGUUUGUGCUGUAUGUCCCAUUUUUGAGCUGCUGAUCAUUACAAAUGAUUCUGUUCUUCACCCUAUUAUCACAUCUUAGUUCAGUAGUUGUUUUUGCUGUUUCUCAGUUCUCAGCAUAAUUACUGUCCAUAUGGAGUUUCUGCAUUCUCCCUGAGCCUAUCUGGCUGAGUUCUGGUUAUUCUAAUUUCUUCUCAUCGUCACAUAAAGGAGUUGGCUGAGCAUGUAUGUAACUGUUGGCUCUUCUGAUGCAUUCACUGCUGCAAGUUUGAAUACCAGCUUCCUCUUUAAAUUCUUAAAAAGAGACAUAUUGCCCAAUGAGCAGGAUUUAUUUAUUUAUUUUUGCUUAGUUAGACUGUUUUGGUCUCUGCUCACAUGUCAAAGUUCUCUAUAGAGAGACAGACUCACGUAUUUGCAACUGGCCCCAAAUUUGUGUUUUGCUCAGUGCUCUGUUCAUUCAUUAAUUGGUUUCAUUUUGCUCAGUUAAACCCCAUGCAGUUAAACAGUCAUGUAACCUUCAAGUUCAACAUUGGCGGUCAAUGUCCCUUUGAAAACACUAGUCAAAAGUAAACAGUCUAAGUAAACAGGCUGGAUGGCUCACAUGUCCUAAACGAAUCAUAUUGUCAUAUUGUACAAGUUUAUUGGAUUUCUCACUGCAGGGGCUCUCGUAAAACAAAGCAGGGAGGAAAAUAAUAACAACACAUUAGUCUGGUAAAAUACAACAAGCAAGUGUUUGUGUAGCGCAUUUAGUCAGCCUGCUUGUAUACAGCCACAUGGGCCAGUCAUACUUGGCAACUCUUGCAGGCACUGAAGUGAACAUAUUCAAAUGUUUUUCAUUUGUAAGAAAAUAAACCAUGGAUAAUAUUUCAGAGAUAUUUUUAGUUGGCAAGUUUUGCACAUGGUCGUCCUUACCAUUUGUGGCAUAUUUGGAUGCUGUUUCAUUUGUUAGUGUUAUGAUUUUGGCCUUUGAACUAGAAGAAAGACAUUGAGUCCUAAAAAGACUAGAUUAAAGUUUAAUUGGUUUAUUAACAAAACAUUCAAAAUUGAAUACUUUAAUGACUUUUAAUAGUACAAAACAAAAUAAAGAAAAUCAGACCAACAAAAAGUGGAGGCUAUGAUUCAAAAUUAACAAAAAUAAAUCAAAAGUGCCAAGGAUUACAAUAGGCUAGAAGUGAAGAAAAAUGAUAAUAAAGUAAAUGGCCAAGUAGAAUUAAAAGGAAAUAAUUAAAAAAUAAUAUCAGUUAGACAAAGGGCAUAUAUUCAAAGAAAUGUUAUAAUAAAAAGGCUAAACCCUACACAAAGGCCAACAUUAAAACAAAAAAAUAAUUUUAAGCAAUGAGGCCAAGCACUUCAAAAUGUCCACUGUUAUUAUUGUUACAUUUCAGUGUGUGUUUUUUGUUUAUAAAAUUUUUAAGUGGUGGUUUGAGUGACAAAAAAUAUAUUGUUAUUUUGGGAUGAGUUCAAAGGAUUGCCAUUAACCAGAGCUGAGAUAUGUAUAAAUCUAGAACACUUUUUACUAAAACCAAACUAUUAUUCAAAAAUUCUUAGUCAAAGUGAAACUAAACUAAAAUGUUAUUUUUGUUUUGAUUGCCACUUACUUGCUCUAUCACUAAGCUGUCUUUGAUUUUUAUGAAGUCUGAUGAUACAAAGGUUGGAUUCACCCACUGUUGAACUGUUACCUCUCAUCACAUUACCAUUGGCCCACAAAGAUAGCAAUGGGCAUCUUUGCAGUCAACAAAAUGAAAAUAAAGCACAAAAUAUUGGCCCCUUUUUGACAAAACCUUAACUAAAUCAGUGGUGUGAUGACAUUAUAAGAAUAAUAACAAAAAUUUAUAAAAACAAAAAUAGCAACAAAAAUCAAAAGUAGGUGCAUUCAAUACAAAUUGUUAAACUUUAGUUGUGUCACUUGUCUCUGUAAACAAUUAUAAAUGCCAAUGGAGGGAUUUCUUCUGGACACUGUGGUACCAUAUAGCCUCCUCAGUGAUGUCAUCUCUCCAUCUUGCCCAUUUCUUCUCACCUUGCCAGCUUUCUUUGUUUUUUCACUAAUUGGAAAAUUCAAAUCUGCUCAGUCUUUCACAUAAGCAGUCCAAAGUGGAAAUAUAAAGGUAAACCUAGGGCAUUCUUUAAAAGUGACCAAUGUACAAAUAUCGCUUUGCUAAGGGGAUUCUGGGCUGGCAUCUGUUUCAAACUAUUUUUGCUCUCAGUCCAUUGCCACAGAGCUCCACAGCCUCCUCAGCACCAGUGUUCCCUGUUUCACCUGAUGGUUUAGUUCAAGUUAUCGUGUAACAUUGAGGGAGAGAUAAUGUUUCCCAUAGUGCAUGCCAAUUGCACCUUGAGGUACCACCCUUGGAAACUUCUAUCCAAAGCUCAUCUGCAGUCCUGGUGACUGGAACAGAAGCAAAGCCAUGUUUCUUUCUAUUGUGCUGCUGCUUUGUUAUUGUAUGAAAGGCUUGACAUACUUGAGUAAUCCUCCAGAACACCAGGAUGAUGGUUGCCAUCAUGACUGGAAUUAACAAAUGCAUUUAUUAUGAGAGUACUGUGCACUUCUCCUCAAAAUGUAUUGUUUUGACAGGCACACCGACUUGCCAGACACCCGCCACUACGCGUCACUGAUGUUUCCAGGCACAUACAGUGUGAGCAGCCAAAGCACCGGGAAAAGCCUCCAUACUCAAAAUGAAGCCUGCACGAUGCAAGUUCUGUGUCUGCAUCACUGCAAGGAGCACAAUGUCCAUUUAGUAGGGUAUCAGUGGUGACUGUUGUUUUAGUAGAGGUCAAAGGUUACUACUAAAGAUGGCACAAUUUAUCAUCAUGCAACUUGACACACUGUGUACAUAAGAAGAUCUAUCGGUCACUGUCAGUGACAUGCUUUACUAAGGGAUUGAAUCAGGCACACUGCUUCUACUGAGAAGUAUACUCUGAUCAACAUCCCCUUCUCAACUUCACAUCCUCCUUGAGACAGCUCGAGGUCAGCCUUCUCAGCCAGUGGAGCCAAACUUUUUUUGGUACAGUGGCUGAUCUGGGUUUCUAACUGAAAGGGAGCCUCUAAUGUGGCAGCAGGCUCUCUCUUGCUAAGCUUUGCAGCACUCUCACAGUCUGGCUGUUUAGUAGUGCGUCAGUGGUUGCCGCAUGUGGCCCAGUGUCUACUUAAUUAAGCUUUUGUGGUCAUUUGGAGAGAUCAUUAUAAAUGUCUAGUUGUCUUACUCUAGUAUGGCUUCGGUAGUCACUAUUUGUUGAACGCUGCUUAGUAGAGGACCAUUGUCACUGCAGGCUAGCACAAUUUAACAAAGGUUUAGUGGUUAGUGCAGAUGACACACCAUCUGUUUAUUAGAGGUCAGUGGUCACUAUGGGUGGCACAUUUUUGAUGGCAAUAGUGAGCAAUAUAGUUGGCACAAUGGAUAGCAGGUGAUACGGCCUAACAGGAGUUUAGUGGUUACUGUAGGUGGUAUAUUGCCUGCUUAGAUGGGGUAAAGGGUAGCUAGAAUUGGUACACUUCAGUUGGAGUUUAAUCAUCACUUCAGUAACCACACUCUCUGUUCAGUAAGAGUCAGUGAUCACUUCUGUUGUGUUGAAAUUCUAUGUGGCUUUCAACAAAUUAUGGAUUGUUACUCUGUCCAAGUAGUUGGGCUCCUACCUUGACAUUCUGUAGGCCUUGCCACAUUUUUUAGUGUCUUUGGCCUUUGCCACUUUUGGUCAGACUUAUCCCAAUUACAAGUGUGACUUUGAGACACUGACUAAGUGUCUGAGCACAGUGGAAUUUUGACCCAAACCUGGGGAUUGCUGAAAAGGUGGAUGCUCUGGAGGUGGGAGCAGCAUGGCUGUGGUUGCUAACUAGGCUGAUCUUGAAUCCCAUCCUCAGAGCAGAUGCUUGUCAUAUUGCAGCAUUAGUGUCUAAUCAGGCACGAACGGGCUCGCCUUUACAAAUAGCAAUCAAUAGUUUCCAUGGUGACAAGGUUUAAAAGAAAACAGUCAUGUCUGUAGUUAGAAAUCAGUAAUGAAAUGAUAAUUCAACAUUCAGAGGGCUGCUGUGUGAUUUGGACUCCAAGGGUGAGAGUGACAGGUGUUGGCAUAAUGAAAACGGACAGGACAGGGUCAAAAGGGGUAUGUAGGCAAUUCUUUAUUAAUGAUUCAUUCUAACUGGGAAAUCCUCCAACCAAAAAAAAAAAA
Polypterus senegalus (gray bichir) is the source of this 7139-nucleotide RNA transcript. It is a transcript of the gene named mevalonate kinase, with no coding region annotated. The transcript is spliced from 14 exons. NCBI's taxonomy places the organism in Eukaryota, Metazoa, Chordata, Cladistia, Polypteriformes, Polypteridae. The record is from RefSeq and is a predicted model, not a curated record.